GCCUCCGCGGCGCUGCCUCCGGGAACUCUCCCGCGAGAGGGCCGCGCGCGCCCGGGCUCCAGGAAGUCGGGCCUGAUCCUGACAUGGUUUUUGGAGAUGCUAUCACCUGAAUGGAGGAAUGUGGGUCCUAGGAUUUGUGCUCUUCAUGUCCUGGCUGCCUUGCUAAGCCUAUUUCUUUUCUUCUCGGCCUGCCCGGGCCCCUGGAAAUGGAAGAUUUUGAGACUAAGUCAUUUAGAAAAAGAAAGCUUGCUUUCAGAAGCUCAGCCAAGACAUUCAUGGAUCAGCAGGAAUGGAUCAUCCCAAGGCACAGUAGGAGGUUACAGGAAAGUUAAAUCCACAACAUUGCCAAGGCUGAAGAGCUUUCGAGUCUACGCCUGGUGGAGAAACAGCAAAUAUAUCAGACGAUUCUCGCACCCACAGAGGCCCUGACAAAGCUCCAAAGAGCAGCAUCGCGAAAGUCUGAAUAAAGGCUUGCUUGGGGACUUAGUAAUUAUAGGAAAGACACGUGGUUUCCUUUAUUUUGGUCUCUUCUCUGGUUUAUUUUGCAGGAAUGAUGUGUUCUUCCUUUCUCUCUUUUUUUCAUGAUACCCCC
Molecule: long non-coding RNA, 592 nt
Filed under: Chinchilla lanigera (long-tailed chinchilla)
Lineage: Eukaryota; Metazoa; Chordata; Mammalia; Rodentia; Chinchillidae
Description: lncRNA (ENSCLAG00000025818.1)
Source: RNAcentral